This 66-nucleotide ribozyme is filed under the name unclassified sequences. RNAcentral's name for it is "pistol ribozyme". It matches the Rfam family "Pistol ribozyme". The record is from RNAcentral.
ACUCGUCUGAGCGAGUAUAAACAGCAUAUUAAGCUCAGAGCGUCUCCCCGAAAGGGGAGGGUUAUG